Molecule: long non-coding RNA, 249 nt
Organism: Lytechinus variegatus (green sea urchin)
Lineage: Eukaryota; Metazoa; Echinodermata; Echinoidea; Temnopleuroida; Toxopneustidae
Exons: 2
Source: RefSeq, a predicted model, not a curated record
UAACGGUACCCUUUCUGCGCCUGUUCCUGUCUGUUAUGAAAACUGUGACAUAGACGCAAUUCCUUUCUCAAAUCAAACAAUGGCUGAUUCUUUGGACCAUGAUGCAAGUAUCGUUAUAGCAUGUAACAUGGGCUUCUCUACCGGUACCGGCAUUCUAACAGAGCUUAUGUGUGAUAAUGGGACCCUUUCUGCGCCUGUUCCUGUCUGUUAUGGUAAGAUCCUCUUAAUCUUGAGUAAAGCUGCCCCCCC